CUGCUUUUGUACGGAACGAAAAGGUCUCUCCUAAUACGAGAGGCUCAUGACGGUACCGUAAGAAUAAGCACCGGCUAACUACGUGCCAGCAGCCGCGGUAAUACGUAGGGUGCAAGCGUUAAUCGGAAUUACUGGGCGUAAAGCGUGCGCAGGCGGUUAUAUAAGACAGAUGUGAAAUCCCCGGGCUCAACCUGGGAACUGCAUUUGUGACUGUAUAGCUAGAGUACGGUAGAGGGGGAUGGAAUUCCGCGUGUAGCAGUGAAAUGCGUAGAUAUGCGGAGGAACACCGAUGGCGAAGGCAAUCCCCUGGACCUGUACUGACGCUCAUGCACGAAAGCGUGGGGAGCAAACAGGAUUAGAUACCCUGGUAGUCCACGCCCU
This 381-nucleotide ribosomal RNA is filed under the name uncultured beta proteobacterium. RNAcentral's name for it is "bacterial SSU rRNA". It matches the Rfam family "Bacterial small subunit ribosomal RNA", at positions 430 to 803 of the family's 1533-position model. Lineage: Bacteria; Pseudomonadati; Pseudomonadota; Betaproteobacteria. The record is from RNAcentral.